AUUUCCAGUCAUUCUUUCAGUAUUUAUGAAGCGAUCAUUCUUCCACUUAUACUUUUCUAAAAUGAUACUUUACAAUAUAAUUCUUGUUGUUAGACCAUAUGAAAUUUAAUUUUGGGCCUAAUGGGUGUGAGUUGAAUAGAUAUUGGUCAUUUAAUAAUUUUUUAUUAAGGUAAUUAAUAUAUAACUCUUGUACAGUUUUACACAAAGUCAUUUUGUUAGAAUUUCAUUAAAUAACUAUUAAAUAGAUUGGGUUAAAUAUUAUAUAUUCCCUAAUAUUUAGUUUAAUAUACCAAUUGCCCCUAUGUAUUGUUUAUUGUACUAGAAUCCUCUUGCAUUUUGUAAAACUGAUUGCUAAUCCCUCUAUCUAAAGUUAAUACAAUUAAAGGACUAAAUUGAUAAAAAAUAUAUUUUAAUCCUUGAAUUUCUUACUAAAAUUAUAAUUUUAGCAUUUAAUAAAACUAAUAGUAAAAAUAAAUUUUUAACUAAGUAUUUUAUUUUGAUAAUUUAAAACUAAAUCAUAUAGACAUUCAAAUUGUUGAUAAAUAUAAAUACAUGUAAAAUGUUUAAUUUUAUUAGAAUUAAUUUGUGCUGAAAGUUAGAUCAAAGAAAUAUUAAUUAGUUAUAUUUCUUAAUUAGCCACUUGAUUUUUGCUAAAAUUAGAAAUUUUUCUCAAUUUGUUUCAAAAAAUUAAUUUUAAAUCAAUCUAGUAUUUGAUAAUAAAUUCGAUAAUCACAUUGAAAUGUUUUUAAUUUCAAAGUCUUGAUUAUAGUUAGUUUAAUUAAAAUAUAAAGGUACUUUGGUAUAAUAAAUAAAAUUUAAUGGACAAGUUGUGUAAUAAGCAAAAAAAUUAAGAGGUAAAUAAUAUUUUACCGGAUCUAUUUAAUGAUUAUUUAACUAAAAUUCUAAUGAUUUGCCUUUUUAAUAUAAAUUUAUAAAUUAAAAAUCAUGAUAAGAAUAUAAUUUUUAAAAAUAAAAAAGUAACUAGUAUAAAAUGAAAAAACACAUAAAAAAAAUAGUAAUGACCCCUUCUAUAUCAUCUGCAGUAAUUUUUCAUUAUUUUACACCAUUUCUUUGCAGUUUUAUGUUAUCUAUUAGGAUUUACAUACAAUAUCUCAAUUUCGCAAUAUUUUAAUAUAAAAACUUCAAAAACGAUAUCAGUUCAGGCAGCACCAGAUUUUGUUGUUUAGCUUUGCUUGUUCGAACAUGUUGCCACGCACUCAGGUUUGCAAAGAAAUUUAGGUUUAUGAGGUAUGCAUGAUGCAAAACAAGGCUUAAAACAAGCUUCAUCAGCAUCAAUAGUAGGAGUAGUAUAUGAUCCAAGUUUCCAUCCUUCUGCAACCUCAGUGGAUGCAACCAGCAUGACAAUAAGGAUGGUAGCAAUUGAAAUUUUGCUUGGGCUCAUUUUUUAUGAUGUUCCUG
This 1419-nucleotide long non-coding RNA is filed under the name Ricinus communis (castor bean). RNAcentral's name for it is "long non-coding RNA (RCOM_LNC000970)". The record is from RNAcentral. Lineage: Eukaryota; Viridiplantae; Streptophyta; Magnoliopsida; Malpighiales; Euphorbiaceae.